UACGUAGGGGGCAAGCGUUGUCCGGAAUUAUUGGGCGUAAAGAGCUCGUAGGCGGUGUGUCGCGUCGGUCGUGAAAACUUGGGGCUUAACCCUGAGCUUGCGGUCGAUACGGGCAUCACUGGAGUUCGGCAGGGGAGACUGGAAUUCCUGGUGUAGCGGUGAAAUGCGCAGAUAUCCGGAGGAACACCGGUGGCGAAGGCGGCUUCCUGGACCGACACUGACGCUGAGGCGCGAAAGCUAGGGGAGCAAACGGG
RNAcentral lists this ribosomal RNA (254 nucleotides) under uncultured bacterium. Its description in RNAcentral is "partial 16S ribosomal RNA". It matches the Rfam family "Bacterial small subunit ribosomal RNA", at positions 524 to 776 of the family's 1533-position model. The record is from RNAcentral.